Molecule: non-coding RNA, 3153 nt
Organism: Rattus norvegicus (Norway rat)
Lineage: Eukaryota; Metazoa; Chordata; Mammalia; Rodentia; Muridae
Source: RefSeq, a predicted model, not a curated record
GUGAGUCUGUUUAUAAAAGGGAAAGAACACUUAGGUAUGUUCGCAUAGACAGGGCAGUACUUUAGGAUAAAACUUCCUAGACUUUUAGUUUCCCUAAGGAGUUACGAUUGGAGGAAAACCGGUGAAGGUAACUGUGCCUUGGAGUAUGGGGGGGAAGAACCUGGAGCAGGGAACUGGUGGUUGAAAGUAAAUGAGUACGGAUGGCUCUAGCCCCUAAGCAUAAAUGUCCCUCUAUAAGCAUAAAUGAAUUCACGUCAAAGUAUUUCUUUUCUGCUUGCUUUUAAAGACUGGGCUAUACAAGGAAAGUAAAUGAUUAAGUUCUGGCAGAAACAUAUGCUGACCACUUCUUGUGACAUUUCCCUAAAUUCAUUGUGUCUGUUUUCUAUGGUUCUUUCUAAAUGAGCUUGUUCUAGGGAGCCUGAUGUUAUCCAUUUGAAUUCCUUUGGUUUCCUGAAACCGAGACUCCAUCAAGCCUAAAUCCAGAACACCGGCUACCAUUUGCUUCUCUGGAGUUGACAACUAUCCCCUGCAUAUGCCAUAGUUGACCUGGUCACGUGUUGUGAUGGUUUGUAUAUGCUUGGCCCAGGGAGUGGCAGGAUUAGAAGGUGUGGCCCUGUCCGAGGAAGUGUGUCACUGUGAGUGUGGGCUUUAAGACCUUCAUGCUAGCUGCCUGGAAGUGAGUAUUCUGCUAGCAGCCUUCAGAUCAAGAUGUAGAACUCUCAGCUCCUCCUGCACCAUGCCUGCCUGGAUGCUGCCAUACUCCUGCCUUGAUGAUAAUGGACUGAACCUCUGAACCUGUAAGCCAGCCCCAGUUGAAUGUUGUCCUUAAAAGGGUUGCUUUGGUCAUGGUGUCUGUUCACAGCAGUCAGUAAAACCCUAAGACACGUGUAUAACUGAACUCCAGUCUACACCUCACCUCCCUUUGUUAUCCUCUUCAACAAAAAUGUAAAGAUUACAAGUAGCGUGCUUUGCCCAUAAUAAAGCACAGGAGAAAAGUAAAUAGAACUUUUCUCAAAAGCUACUGUGAGCGUUUAUCACGGGCAAAUGCUCGUUUAGCCCCACCCCCCUGAUUUAAAAACAAAAACAAAAAAAACGAAGCAGUUGGAGGAUCUUCCAUUGAGCUUAGCUCUCCCUAGCCAGCCUUGGCUUCUUCCACUUUUCAGAGAGCUUGUCUCAGCACAUCUCUCUUCACUUCAGAUUUCAGACAUUUUAGAUUUACUGUUGGCAGGUCUUAUUAAAAGCCUUUAUUACAAGAAAAAGUCACCCAGGAGGCAGCCAGUCAUCGAUGGUAAAGUUCAGUAAAGUCUGCCUAGUUCAUGUGCCUAGUUUUAAUCUGUGGUUCAUUUUAAUUCCACUUAAUUGCAGUAACAUUUUAAUGAACUGUCUUAGGUUUCUAUGGCUGCGAUUAAACAUCAUAACCAAGUUGGUGAGAAAAGGGUUGAUUCCAGCUUACAACUCUUGGGUCACAGUCCCCCAUCCAGGGAACUCAAGGCAGGAACCGGAGCAGAGAAAGUGGAGGAGCCCUGCUCAGCAUCCUGUUCCCCCUUUGGCUUCCUCAGCUUGUUUUCUACAACUCAGGAGCCCCUGCCCACGGGUAGUGUAAGCCCAGUGUCUCCUAUCAAUUAUUAAUCAUGAAAAUGCCCUGAAGUUUGCCCACAAGCAGUGUGAUAGAGGUAAUUCCUCAUUCAGGUUCCUCUUUCCAAAUAACUCUGACCUAUGUCAAGUUGGAUAAAAACCAAAAGAAAAAAAGAAAGAAAGAAAGAAAGAAAGAAAGAAAGAAAGAAAGAAAGAAAGAAAGAAAGAAACCACGAGGCAGGGUGAACCAACAGUCACUCUUUUCUCCUCAAUGAUGAACCACAAUGCACCCAGAUGCACAAGCCUAAAUCUAGUUGACACCCUUGAUUCCCAGCUCUCUCUCUCUCUCUCUCUCUCUCUCUCUCUCUCGCUCGCUCGCUCGCUCUUUCUCAUCCACCCCUACAGAUUCUCUUUGUCUACAGAAUUGCAACACACAUCUCCUCCUCCAAUCUUUUCUCCCCACUAGACAUCGUCACUCGUCUGUGCCAUGAAACCAUGGUCUUGCUCCACUCAAAACUCUUUCUGAAACAGAAUCAUCAAGGCAGAUGACUCCUGAUGACCCAGCUUUCUUUUCAAUGGUCCUGACACGUCUCUCUACAACAGAAUGCAACAGAAUGACUGCAUCCACUGUACCGCGUAGAAGAGCCACGUUCUUUACAUUCCGGCCAUCUCUUUGCUGGAUUGCCCUUAUGUGCAUUAUUUUAAUUGAGCGCUUGUUAAUAAAAUGGUUUUGUUUCUUUUCUCUUAACGAGUUGGGAGACAAUGUUGUUUCUAAUUAAAAUGAUUAUUUUCUAACUGCAGAAAUCCUUCAACAUUGGAACAAAGGAUCCAGCAGAGAAGUAUCUGCCCUUCACAGCUCGCCCCUGGACAAGGAGAUACACAACCCUGACACUUCUCCCUCUUUCUCCUCAGCAUUCAGCCCCUUUGCCCCUCAUUCUCUGCUCUCAGCACCACUUACCGCCUCCAGCUCUGGGCCCUUCUGUCACUCACCACUCCUGGCUGGUUUGGCACUUCAUGGUACCAGGUCAAAGAUGCAGAGCAAGGGUGAUGUGGCUGCCAUCAGACAAUGCAAGGAAACACAACGUUAUCAUGACAUACUGACAGAAACACACUGCUUAUUCUCCCGAUGGUCAGGGCAGAGUUUCUCUUGCACCAUUGUCUCUGUCAAAUGCAUCUUAAUUUAACAGUCAUACAUCUGCCUCCAAAGGGAUGUUGAAGACCUUGACCAAGAGGCAGCUUGUGACAUCGCUGCCAUUUCCAAGCAUUCCAGUGGACAAUUGGUAAGCAUUCUAAUGCUUGUCCAUGCUCGUUAUGCAUCUGUAACAGAAAUGCUACAACGCUGAACACAUAGGGACACACGGACACGCAUGUUCAUUUCUCUGCGGUCUCACUAUGGACCACGAUACCUGAAGAUUUUCUUUAAUACUUACAUACUAGAAACAUGUAAAGGAGAGUCUCCUUUCACCUUUAUCUUUCUCACAUCAGACCUACUUUUCAACAAAUACUUGGUAAGCAUCUCCUGUGCUGAGUGUUAUGCUGGUGACAAUAUAAAGAAUCCCAAGACAUUCGUUCCCUCCA